CUUGCAUACCUAUAAGAGGUCCAGCCUGCCCAGUGACUCUGUUCAACGGCCGCGGUAUCCUAACCGUGCGAAGGUAGCGUAAUCACUUGUUCUUUAAAUGAGGACUAGUAUGAAUGGCAUCACGAAGGUUAUACUGUCUCCUCUUUCCAAUCAGUGAAACUAAUCUCCCCGUGAAGAAGCGGGGAUAACUUUAUAAGACGAGAAGACCCUAUGGAGCUUUAAACUAAGAAUCAACUGACUUUUCCACUUUUAAAUUCCAGAAAACUAACUUUUACCAAGACACUCUGAUUUCUAGUUUUAGGUUGGGGUGACCACGGAGUAAAAACUAACCUCCGCAAUGAACAGGGAUCUUCCCUUAACCAAGGACCACAACCCUAAGAAUCAGCACAUUGACAUAAAUUGACCCAAAAAUUUGAUCAAUGAAC
This 425-nucleotide ribosomal RNA is filed under the name Leptodactylus knudseni group sp. ABGD cluster 32. RNAcentral's name for it is "partial large subunit ribosomal RNA". It matches the Rfam family "Bacterial large subunit ribosomal RNA", at positions 1834 to 2396 of the family's 2925-position model. Lineage: Eukaryota; Metazoa; Chordata; Amphibia; Anura; Leptodactylidae. The record is from RNAcentral.